RNAcentral lists this long non-coding RNA (424 nucleotides) under Mustela putorius furo (domestic ferret). RNAcentral describes it as "lncRNA (ENSMPUG00000023977.1)". The record is from RNAcentral. Lineage: Eukaryota; Metazoa; Chordata; Mammalia; Carnivora; Mustelidae.
CUGGCGACAGUAGGAAGAGGAUCUGGGAAGCGUACGAAAGAGCAGAGCUCUGUUUUGCAGACUCCUUUCCCAGGCUCUUAUCCCCGGCAGUGCCAGGUGAGCCUCGACAGGACGAUCACCUGUCGUAUCCCAGGCUUCCCAACGAAAUCUACACGGUCACCUGGAACAGGUUAAGAAACCAGCGUUCCUGAGUGAAGCGCAAACUCACAGAUAACCAGGGGCAGCAAGAGAGGACUCUGAUCUCUGCAACUCGGUCUCUCCACCAUCCCGCAGAUAGGGGGAAGAUUUGGGUCAUUCUCUUCAGUUCCCAUUCAGGCAACAAGCAGGAAAAAAUAUGGACCGAGAGAGAGAGAAAGGAGGAGAAGGGAGAGAGAGGUGGUGUUAGAAGAAGAGGAAGAGAGGGAGGAAAAGGACAAGGAGGAAG